This 318-nucleotide long non-coding RNA is filed under the name Salvia miltiorrhiza (redroot sage). Its description in RNAcentral is "long non-coding RNA (SMIL_LNC001972)". Lineage: Eukaryota; Viridiplantae; Streptophyta; Magnoliopsida; Lamiales; Lamiaceae. The record is from RNAcentral.
AUAAUGUAAGUCCAAUGUUUUUCAUCUCUCUGGAUAUGUCUAAAAUGGUCAGAAGUCUGUGUUGGUGAACAUUUCAUUUGACCACAUUUCUUAUCAAUAAAUUAGCCAUUUCACUUUGCUGCUCAGAUGUGAAGUUUUGUUACUACUGCUUAAUACACAGUUGGCUCAGACUUGGUGUGAACUAAAGCUGAGUUAUAGAUAUGUAGCAAAUGAGAACAUGAUUAUAAGCUUAUAGAGCUUUAGCACCAAAAAACUUCAACAUUUUGAAUACUCUGGCUUUUCAUAAAUUAGUAUCUGGACUUAAUGUCCACUUUGAGU